RNAcentral lists this transfer RNA (56 nucleotides) under Loxodonta africana (African savanna elephant). It matches the Rfam family "tRNA", at positions 8 to 63 of the family's 71-position model. Rfam says of the family: Transfer RNA (tRNA) molecules are approximately 80 nucleotides in length. Their secondary structure includes four short double-helical elements and three loops (D, anti-codon, and T loops). Further hydrogen bonds mediate the characteristic L-shaped molecular structure. tRNAs have two regions of fundamental functional importance: the anti-codon, which is responsible for specific mRNA codon recognition, and the 3' end, to which the tRNAs corresponding amino acid is attached (by aminoacyl-tRNA synthetases). tRNAs cope with the degeneracy of the genetic code in two manners: having more than one tRNA (with a specific anti-codon) for a particular amino acid; and 'wobble' base-pairing, i.e. permitting non-standard base-pairing at the 3rd anti-codon position. Lineage: Eukaryota; Metazoa; Chordata; Mammalia; Proboscidea; Elephantidae. The record is from Rfam by way of RNAcentral.
UGGUUCAAUGAUAGAAUUCUCACCUUCCAAGUGGGAGACCUGGGUUCGAUUCCUGG